This 176-nucleotide ribosomal RNA is filed under the name Leisingera aquaemixtae. RNAcentral's name for it is "16S ribosomal RNA (partial)". It matches the Rfam family "Bacterial small subunit ribosomal RNA", at positions 1 to 183 of the family's 1533-position model. Lineage: Bacteria; Pseudomonadati; Pseudomonadota; Alphaproteobacteria; Rhodobacterales; Roseobacteraceae. The record is from RNAcentral.
CGUUUCAACUUGAGAGUUUGAUCCUGGCUCAGAACGAACGCUGGCGGCAGGCCUAACACAUGCAAGUCGAGCGCGCCCUUCGGGGUGAGCGGCGGACGGGUUAGUAACGCGUGGGAACGUGCCCUUCUCUAAGGAAUAGCCACUGGAAACGGUGAGUAAUACCUUAUACGCCCUUC